UGGUGGGUAGUUUGACUGGGGCGGUCUCCUCCUAAAGAGUAACGGAGGAGCACGAAGGUUGGCUAAUCCUGGUCGGACAUCAGGAGGUUAGUGCAAUGGCAUAAGCCAGCUUGACUGCGAGCGUGACGGCGCGAGCAGGUGCGAAAGCAGGUCAUAGUGAUCCGGUGGUUCUGAAUGGAAGGGCCAUCGCUCAACGGAUAAAAGGUACUCCGGGGAUAACAGGCUGAUACCGCCCAAGAGUUCAUAUCGACGGCGGUGUUUGGCACCUCGAUGUCGGCUCAUCACAUCCUGGGGCUGAAGUAGGUCCCAAGGGUAUGGCUGUUCGCCAUUUAAAGUGGUACGCGAGCUGGGUUUAGAACGUCGUGAGACAGUUCGGUCCCUAUCUGCCGUGGGCGCUGGAGAACUGAGGGGGGCUGCUCCUAGUACGAGAGGACCGGAGUGGACGCAUCACUGGUGUUCGGGUUGUCAUGCCAAUGGCACUGCCCGGUAGCUAAAUGCGGAAGAGAUAAGUGCUGAAAGCAUCUAAGCACGAAACUUGCCCCGAGAUGAGUUCUCCCUGAGACUUAGAGUCUCCUGAAGGAACGUUGAAGACGACGACGUUGAUAGGCCGGGUGUGUAAGCG
RNAcentral lists this ribosomal RNA (622 nucleotides) under Salmonella enterica subsp. enterica serovar Infantis. Its description in RNAcentral is "partial 23S ribosomal RNA". It matches the Rfam family "Bacterial large subunit ribosomal RNA", at positions 2259 to 2875 of the family's 2925-position model. The record is from RNAcentral. RNAcentral also lists the same sequence under 4 other names. Lineage: Bacteria; Pseudomonadati; Pseudomonadota; Gammaproteobacteria; Enterobacterales; Enterobacteriaceae.